This 935-nucleotide ribosomal RNA is filed under the name Enterococcus faecium. Its description in RNAcentral is "bacterial SSU rRNA". It matches the Rfam family "Bacterial small subunit ribosomal RNA", at positions 61 to 961 of the family's 1533-position model. Lineage: Bacteria; Bacillati; Bacillota; Bacilli; Lactobacillales; Enterococcaceae. The record is from RNAcentral.
GUCGAACGCUUCUUUUUCCACCGGAGCUUGCUCCACCGGAAAAAGAGGAGUGGCGAACGGGUGAGUAACACGUGGGUAACCUGCCCAUCAGAAGGGGAUAACACUUGGAAACAGGUGCUAAUACCGUAUAACAAUCAAAACCGCAUGGUUUUGAUUUGAAAGGCGCUUUCGGGUGUCGCUGAUGGAUGGACCCGCGGUGCAUUAGCUAGUUGGUGAGGUAACGGCUCACCAAGGCCACGAUGCAUAGCCGACCUGAGAGGGUGAUCGGCCACAUUGGGACUGAGACACGGCCCAAACUCCUACGGGAGGCAGCAGUAGGGAAUCUUCGGCAAUGGACGAAAGUCUGACCGAGCAACGCCGCGUGAGUGAAGAAGGUUUUCGGAUCGUAAAACUCUGUUGUUAGAGAAGAACAAGGAUGAGAGUAACUGUUCAUCCCUUGACGGUAUCUAACCAGAAAGCCACGGCUAACUACGUGCCAGCAGCCGCGGUAAUACGUAGGUGGCAAGCGUUGUCCGGAUUUAUUGGGCGUAAAGCGAGCGCAGGCGGUUUCUUAAGUCUGAUGUGAAAGCCCCCGGCUCAACCGGGGAGGGUCAUUGGAAACUGGGAGACUUGAGUGCAGAAGAGGAGAGUGGAAUUCCAUGUGUAGCGGUGAAAUGCGUAGAUAUAUGGAGGAACACCAGUGGCGAAGGCGGCUCUCUGGUCUGUAACUGACGCUGAGGCUCGAAAGCGUGGGGAGCAAACAGGAUUAGAUACCCUGGUAGUCCACGCCGUAAACGAUGAGUGCUAAGUGUUGGAGGGUUUCCGCCCUUCAGUGCUGCAGCUAACGCAUUAAGCACUCCGCCUGGGGGAGUACGACCGCAAGGGUUGAAACUCAAAGGAAUUGACGGGGGGCCCGCACAAGCGGUGGAAGCAUGUGGGUUUAAUUCGAAGCAACG